UACGUAGGGCGCAAGCGUUGUCCGGAUUUACUGGGCGUAAAGAGCGCGCAGGCGGUCGUUCAAGUCGAGGGUGAAAGCCCCCGGCUCAACUGGGGAGGGUCAUUCGAUACUGAUCGACUCGAAGGCAGGAGAGGGAAGUGGAAUUCCCGGUGUAGUGGUGAAAUGCGUAGAUAUCGGGAGGAACACCAGUGGCGAAGGCGACUUCCUGGCCUGUUCUUGACGCUGAGGCGCGAAAGCUAGGGGAGCAAACGGG
This 253-nucleotide ribosomal RNA is filed under the name uncultured bacterium. Its description in RNAcentral is "partial 16S ribosomal RNA". It matches the Rfam family "Bacterial small subunit ribosomal RNA", at positions 524 to 776 of the family's 1533-position model. The record is from RNAcentral.